UUAAAGGAAUUGACGGAGGGGCACCACCAGGAAUGGAGCCUGCGGCUUAAUUUGACUCAACACGGGAAAACUUACCCGGCCCGGACACAGGAAGGAUUGACAGAUUAAGAGCUCUUUCUUGAUUCUGUGGGUGGUGGUGCAUGGCCGUUCUUAGUUGGUGGAGCGAUUUGUCUGGUUAAUUCCGAUAACGAACGAGACUCUAGCCUACUAAAUAGACGUUCCGAUCCACUGCGUCGGACGUUCUUCUUAGAGGGACAAGCGGCGUUUAGCCGCACGAGACAGAGCAAUAACAGGUCAGUGAUGCCCUUAGAUGUUCGGGGCCGCACGCGCGCUACAUUGAAGGAAUCAGCGUGUGCUUUCCCUGUCCGACAGGACUGGGUAACCCGUUGAAACUCUUUCGUGCUGGGGAUAGGAAGUUGUAAUUCUCUUCCUUGAACGAGGAAUUCCCAGUAAGCGCGAGUCAUAAGCUCGCGUUGAUUAAGUCCCUGCCCCUUGUACACACCGCCCGUCGCUACUACCGAUUGAGCGAUUUAGUGAGGUCUUCGGACUGGCGCUCGGAGCGGCUUUCGGGUCGUGCCGGCGUGCCGGAAAGAUGACCGAACUUGACCGCUUAGAGGAAGUAAAAGUC
RNAcentral lists this ribosomal RNA (628 nucleotides) under Paracyrba wanlessi. RNAcentral's name for it is "SSU rRNA". It matches the Rfam family "Eukaryotic small subunit ribosomal RNA", at positions 1144 to 1790 of the family's 1831-position model. Lineage: Eukaryota; Metazoa; Arthropoda; Arachnida; Araneae; Salticidae. The record is from RNAcentral.